RNAcentral lists this non-coding RNA (25 nucleotides) under Plasmodium falciparum 3D7. Lineage: Eukaryota; Apicomplexa; Aconoidasida; Haemosporida; Plasmodiidae. The record is from RNAcentral.
AUCUCCUAGCUAACCAUAAGAAAGG